RNAcentral lists this ribosomal RNA (589 nucleotides) under uncultured bacterium. RNAcentral's name for it is "bacterial SSU rRNA". It matches the Rfam family "Bacterial small subunit ribosomal RNA", at positions 69 to 670 of the family's 1533-position model. The record is from RNAcentral.
GCAGCAUAACUUAGCUUGCUAAGUUGAUGGCGACCGGCGCACGGGUGAGUAACACGUAUCCACCUGCCGAUGACUCGGGGAUAGCCUUUCGAAAGAAAGAUUAAUACCCGAUGGCUCCGCAUGGUUAAAGAAUUUCGGUCAUCGAUGGGGAUGCGUUCCAUUAGGUUGUUGGCGGGGUAACGGCCCACCAAGCCUUCGAUGGAUAGGGGUUCUGAGAGGAAGGUCCCCCACAUUGGAACUGAGACACGGUCCAAACUCCACGGGAGGCAGCAGUGAGGAAUAUUGGUCAAUGGACGAGAGUCUGAACCAGCCAAGUAGCGUGAAGGAUGACUGCCUAUGGGUUGUAAACUUCUUUUAUACGGGAAUAAGUGAGGCACGUGUGCCUUUUUGUAUGUACCGUAUGAAUAAGGAUCGGCUAACUCCGUGCCAGCAGCCGCGGUAAUACGGAGGAUCCGAGCGUUAUCCGGAUUUAUUGGGUUUAAAGGGAGCGUAGGCGGACGCUUAAGUCAGUUGUGAAAGUUUGCGGCUCAACCGUAAAAUUGCAGUUGAUACUGGGUGUCUUGAGUACAGUAGAGGCAGGCGGAAUUCG